AAACUGGGGGAAGAGUAUCUCCCUCAAGGGAGGGCCGGAUGAGCUGAAGAGCACCGGAUGCAAGUGCAUAGUCGGGUUCAGCAGGUUUCUUUCUUUGCCUGUGCCUCCCAGAUGAUGGAGAGUGUGGGCAUGUGUUGGGAGAUGGGACAUAGGGAUGGUGGGGACAGCUCUCAGAUGGUGAAAUGGGGCUUCUGUGAACACCAGUCCACAUCCCCAUUCUGCCCAAGGAUAAUCUGUUGCUUCUUCCCCUCCCUCCUACCCAUCAUGAAGCCCCUCAUCUGCCCACCCAUCUGUCCAUCCAUCCACCCAACUAUCCACCUACCCAUCCAUCCGUCCAUCCAUCCAUCCAUUCACCCACCUACCCAUCCACCCAUUCAUUUGUCCAUCUGUCCAUUCGUCCACCUACCCAUCCAUUCAUUCAUCUGUCCAUCCAUCCAUCUACCCAUCCAUCCAUCCAUCCUUCCAAGACAGCUCUCUGCCCCUCCAAGCUCUGCACAGAAGUCUCCAGAAGCCACAGCAUUGACCAGUAGUUGUGAGCUGAGAUGCCUUCAGGGGCCAGGCAGGUACGUUCCAGCAGAGCAAGGUGAAAAAGAGCUGAAAUUGGCAUCAGAAGCCCAGAGUUCUGGUUCCAGCUCCGACCACUCAUUCAGUGUGUGACCUCAGGCAGGUCACCAGCCUGAGCUGUGCCUUCAUUUCAUCUGUCAGACGGAUGACUCUGCCCCUCAGAGCUUGCAGACGGCAAGGUGAGGAAUGCGGCAGCUGGGAAAGUGAUGUUGC
Molecule: long non-coding RNA, 777 nt
Filed under: Pan troglodytes (chimpanzee)
Lineage: Eukaryota; Metazoa; Chordata; Mammalia; Primates; Hominidae
Description: long non-coding RNA NONPTRT006264
Source: RNAcentral